CUUAUCCCCUAUAUUGUUUCUUGCAGAUAGAUCAUAUUCCUCUAAAUGAAUUGGACUGGUCCCAAACCAGUUUACAGUUUGGAACUGAGACAAACUCCAUAAAGACUGUUACUCGCCAGUUCGUCUUGUUUCUCCACGCCACUGAUCCUCAUCCCUUCUCCCUGGUUUCCUCAUGGUCUCUCCAUGUCUCUUGUUUGGAUUUAUGUCCCUUGUACUUUUUGUUGUAAAUUUGAUUUUUAAUUAAAUCUACAACAGAA
Long non-coding RNA from Xiphophorus couchianus (Monterrey platyfish), 257 nucleotides. RefSeq lists it as uncharacterized. The record is from RefSeq and is a predicted model, not a curated record. The transcript is spliced from 2 exons. NCBI's taxonomy places the organism in Eukaryota, Metazoa, Chordata, Actinopteri, Cyprinodontiformes, Poeciliidae.